Molecule: non-coding RNA, 74 nt
Organism: Ameiurus melas (black bullhead)
Lineage: Eukaryota; Metazoa; Chordata; Actinopteri; Siluriformes; Ictaluridae
Source: the annotation of a GenBank genome assembly
GCCUUGUUAGCGCAGUAGGUAUCGUGUCAGUCUCAUAAUCUGAAGGUUGUGAGUUAAAUCCUACACACAGCGCA